GACGAACGCUGGCGGCGUGCUUAACACAUGCAGGUCGAACGGAAAGGCCCUGCUUUUGUGGGGUGCUCGAGUGGCGAACGGGUGAGUAACACGUGAGUAACCUGCCCUUGACUUUGGGAUAACUUCAGGAAACUGGGGCUAAUACCGGAUAGGAGCUCCUGCUGCAUGGUGGGGGUUGGAAAGUUUCGGCGGUUGGGGAUGGACUCGCGGCUUAUCAGCUUGUUGGUGGGGUAGUGGCUUACCAAGGCUUUGACGGGUAGCCGGCCUGAGAGGGUGACCGGUCACAUUGGGACUGAGAUACGGCCCAGACUCCUACGGGAGGCAGCAGUGGGGAAUAUUGCACAAUGGGCGGAAGCCUGAUGCAGCAACGCCGCGUGCGGGAUGACGGCCUUCGGGUUGUAAACCGCUUUCGCCUGUGACGAAGCGUGAGUGACGGUAAUGGGUAAAGAAGCACCGGCUAACUACGUG
This 468-nucleotide ribosomal RNA is filed under the name uncultured bacterium. Its description in RNAcentral is "partial 16S ribosomal RNA". It matches the Rfam family "Bacterial small subunit ribosomal RNA", at positions 28 to 507 of the family's 1533-position model. The record is from RNAcentral.